This 468-nucleotide ribosomal RNA is filed under the name uncultured bacterium. RNAcentral's name for it is "partial 16S ribosomal RNA". It matches the Rfam family "Bacterial small subunit ribosomal RNA", at positions 28 to 507 of the family's 1533-position model. The record is from RNAcentral.
GACGAACGCUGGCGGCGUGCUUAACACAUGCAAGUCGAACGGAAAGGCCCUUCUUUUGUGGGGUGCUCGAGUGGCGAACGGGUGAGUAACACGUGAGUAACCUGCCCUUGACUUUGGGAUAACUUCAGGAAACUGGGGCUAAUACCGGAUAGGAGCUCCUGCUGCAUGGUGGGGGUUGGAAAGUUUCGGCGGUUGGGGAUGGACUCGCGGCUUAUCAGCUUGUUGGUGGGGUAGUGGCUUACCAAGGCUUUGACGGGUAGCCGGCCUGAGAGGGUGACCGGCAAAAUUGGGACUGAGUUACGGCCCAGACUCCUACGGGAGGCAGAAGGGGGGAAUAUUGCACAAUGGGCGGAAGCCUGAUGCAGCAACGCCGCGUGCGGGAUGACGGCCUUCGGGUUGUAAACCGCUUUCGCCUGUGACGAAGCGUGAGUGACGGUAAUGGGUAAAGAAGCACCGGCUAACUACGUG